GAUGAACGCUGGCGGCGUGCUUAACACAUGCAAGUCGAACGGAAAGGCUCCUGCUUGCAGGGGUACUCGAGUGGCGAACGGGUGAGUAACACGUGGGUGAUCUGCCCUGCACUUCGGGAUAAGCCUGGGAAACUGGGUCUAAUACCGGAUAGGACGAUGGUUUGGAUGCCAUUGUGGGAAGUUUUUUCGGUGUGGGAUGAGCUCGCGGCCUAUCAGCUUGUUGGUGGGGUAAUGGCCUACCAAGGCGUCGACGGGUAGCCGGCCUGAGAGGGUGUACGGCCACAUUGGGACUGAGAUACGGCCCAGACUCCUACGGGAGGCAGCAGUGGGGAAUAUUGCACAAUGGGCGCAAGCCUGAUGCAGCGACGCCGCGUGGGGGAUGACGGCCUUCGGGUUGUAAACUCCUUUCGCUAGGGACGAAGCGCAAGUGACGGUACCUGGAGAAGAAGCACCGGCUAACUACGUG
This 466-nucleotide ribosomal RNA is filed under the name uncultured bacterium. RNAcentral describes it as "partial 16S ribosomal RNA". It matches the Rfam family "Bacterial small subunit ribosomal RNA", at positions 28 to 507 of the family's 1533-position model. The record is from RNAcentral.